RNA transcript from Photinus pyralis (common eastern firefly), 1399 nucleotides. It is a transcript of the gene named tropomyosin-1, with no coding region annotated. The transcript has 7 exons. The record is from RefSeq and is a predicted model, not a curated record. NCBI's taxonomy places the organism in Eukaryota, Metazoa, Arthropoda, Insecta, Coleoptera, Lampyridae.
GGUGGGAGGUAGGGGAAGAUGACGACAGCGUUAGAGAAAUGGUAAGCGUAGUUGACGUCGCGACGCUUAUUGCUCUUAGGUUAGCCAACAUCCUCCGAUCGCCUUCAGGCACAGGCAGUUUUUCGUUUUCCCUCUGAGCCAGCCCUAAAAAACUAAGCACAAUGGACGCGAUCAAGAAGAAAAUGCAAGCGAUGAAGCUUGAAAAGGACAAUGCACAGGAUAAAGCCGAUGCGAUGGAAGGGCAGUUCAAGGAUGCGAACAUGCGUGCUGAAAAGGUGAAAGAAGAGGUGUACGAAUACACAAAGAAAUUGGCACAAGUGGAAGCUGAUUUUGAAACAACUAAAAACAACCUUGAACAAGCUAACAAAGACCUUGAAACUAAAGAGAAAACGUUAAACAACGCCGAAUCAGAGAUGGCUGCCUUAAAUCGCAAAGUCCAACUCAUUGAAGAAGAUUUGGAACGUUCCGAAGAACGUCUAGGAACCGCAUCUACUAAACUUGCGGAAGCGUCUGAAGCAGCUGAUGAGAGCUCCCGUAUGUGCAAGGUAUUGGAAAAUCGUGCUUUACAAGAUGAAGAACGUAUGGAUCAACUAACCGCCCAGCUGAAGGAAGCGCGUAUGCUCGCCGAGGAUGCCGACAACAAAUCCGACGAAGUCUCCCGCAAACUGGCGUUCGUUGAAGACGAACUUGAAGUAGCCGAAGAUCGUGUCAAAGGCGGUGACGCCAAGAUUAUGGAACUUGAGGAAGAAUUGAAGGUCGUCGGAAAUUCGCUCAAAUCACUCGAGGUGUCCGAAGAAAAGGCCAACCAACGGGUGGAAGAAUUCAAGAAGCAAUUAAAAUCUCUCACCGUCAAACUAAAGGAGGCCGAAGCUCGCGCUGAAUACGCCGAGAAGGCCGUGAAGAAAUUGCAGAAGGAAGUUGAUAGAAUUGAAGACUUUGUGCUUCGCGAAAAAUCUAAGUAUCAAGGAGUAUUAAAUGAAAUUGACAAAACGUUCACUGAAAUGGCUUCGCUUACCGCUAACAAAUAACGCACCUUCCCUAGCUUACGCAUUUCUUUCUUAGCUUUACUCCACGCUUCCGCUACAUUAAUGCAAAUGCCCAGACGAACUUGGAAUCAACAAGGACAGGUACAAGUCAUUGGCCGACGAAAUGGACUCCACCUUUGCCGAAUUGGCCGGCUACUAAUUUAGAGAGUAAAGCAAGAAGAUCAAAAACAUCCUGUAAAUUUGAAGUAUCUUUAUAUUUUAUUACACUAUUUUCCGAUGUAUUAAUUUCUAACACGUUAAUUGUUAUAAUUAUUUUGAAAUAAAAAUAAUUAUUGUGCGGGAUUCAUCUGGUUAUGUGCAUUGCUGUAAUUCUAUAUUAUAUAUAUUAUAAUAAUACAAGCUUGUAAAUACAA